GACUGCGUAGUUCAACGGAUAGAAUAGGAGUUUCCUAAACUCUAGAUAUGGGUUCGAUUCCCGUCGCGGUCACAA
Molecule: transfer RNA, 75 nt
Filed under: Dyadobacter sediminis
Lineage: Bacteria; Pseudomonadati; Bacteroidota; Cytophagia; Cytophagales; Spirosomataceae
Also listed under: 1 other name
Description: tRNA-Arg
Rfam family: tRNA
About the family: Transfer RNA (tRNA) molecules are approximately 80 nucleotides in length.
Source: RNAcentral